Molecule: ribosomal RNA, 246 nt
Filed under: uncultured bacterium
Lineage: Bacteria
Description: partial small subunit ribosomal RNA
Rfam family: Bacterial small subunit ribosomal RNA
Source: RNAcentral
AGAAUCAACGCUGGCGGCGUGCCUAACACAUGCAAGUCGAACGAGAAGGUGGAGCAAUCCACAAGUAAAGUGGCGCACGGGUGAGUAACACGUGACUGACCUACCCUUGAGUGGGGGAUAACCUAGGGAAACCUGGGCUAAUACCGCAUAAUACCUACGGGUCAAAGGAGCAAUUCGCUUAAGGAGGGGGUCGCGGCCGAUUAGUUAGUUGGCGGGGUAAUGGCCCACCAAGACGAUGAUCGGUAU